Molecule: ribosomal RNA, 298 nt
Filed under: uncultured bacterium
Lineage: Bacteria
Description: partial 16S ribosomal RNA
Rfam family: Bacterial small subunit ribosomal RNA
Source: RNAcentral
AAUGAACGCUGGCGGCGUGGUUAAGACAUGCAAGUCGAACGGUUUUUAAUGAAGGGCAACCGGAAUUAAAAGACAGUGGCGAACGGGUGCGUAACACGUGAACAAUCUACCUCCAAGUGGGGAAUAGCUCGCCGAAAGGCGAAUUAAUACCGCAUGUGGUGGUCUCUCGCAUGAGAGGCAAACUAAAGUCAGGGACCGCAAGGCCUGACGCUAGGAGAGGAGUUCGCGGCCUACAGCUAGUUGGCGAGGUAACGGCUCACCAAGGCUAAGACGGGUAGCUGGUCUGAGAGGAUGAUCA